CCUUCGGGUGGCUGCAGUGAGGAAUAUUGGUCAAUGGGCGUAAGCCUGAACCAGCCAAGUCGCGUGAGGGAUGAAGGUUCUAUGGAUCGUAAACCUCUUUUAUAAGGGAAUAAAGUGUGGGACGUGUCCUAUUUUGUAUGUACCUUAUGAAUAAGGAUCGGCUAACUCCGUGCCAGCAGCCGCGGUAAUACGGCGGAUCCGAUCGUUAUCCGUAUUUAUUGGGUUUAAAGGGUGCGUAGGCGGCCUUUUCAGUCAGCGGUGAAAGUCUGUGGCGCAACCAUAGAAUUGCCGUUGAAACUGGGGGGCUUGAGUAUGUUUGAGGCAGGCGGAAUGCGUGGUGUAGCGGUGUAAUGCUUAGAUAUCACGCAGAACCCCGAUUGCGAAGGCAGCCUGCCAAGCCAUGACUGACGCUGAUGCACGAAAGCGUGGGGAUCAAACAGGAUUAGAUACCCGGGUAGUC
Molecule: ribosomal RNA, 460 nt
Filed under: uncultured bacterium
Lineage: Bacteria
Description: partial 16S ribosomal RNA
Rfam family: Bacterial small subunit ribosomal RNA
Source: RNAcentral